RNAcentral lists this ribosomal RNA (520 nucleotides) under uncultured Glomeromycotina. RNAcentral's name for it is "SSU rRNA". It matches the Rfam family "Eukaryotic small subunit ribosomal RNA", at positions 569 to 1090 of the family's 1831-position model. Lineage: Eukaryota; Fungi; Glomeromycota. The record is from RNAcentral.
AGCAGCCGCGGUAAUUCCAGCUCCAAUAGCGUAUAUUAAAGUUGUUGCAGUUAAAAAGCUCGUAGUUGAAUUUCGGGGUUAGUAGAUUGGUCAUGCCUCUGGUAUGCACUGGUCUUACUGAUUCCUCCUUCCUGAUGAACCGUAAUGCCAUUAAUUUGGUGUUGCGGGGAAACUGGACUGUUACUUUGAAAAAUUGAGUGUUUAAAGCAGGCUAACGCUUGAAUACAUUAGCAUGGAAUAAUGAAAUAGGACGUUCGAUCUUAUUUUGUUGGUUUCUAGGAUUGACGUAAUGAUUAAUAGGGAUAGUUGGGGGCAUUAGUAUUCAAUUGUCAGAGGUGAAAUUCUUGGAUUUAUUGAAGACUAACUACUGCGAAAGCAUUUGCCAAGGAUGUUUUCAUUAAUCAAGAACGAAAGUUAGGGGGAUCGAAGACGAUCAGAUACCGUCGUAGUCUUAACCAUAAACUAUGCCGACUAGGGAUCGGGAUGAUGUUAAUUUUUUAAUGACUCAUUCGGCGCCUUA